UGGUGGUUAUGAACUGUCUGGUUAAUUCCGUUAACGAACGAGACCUCUGCCUACUAACUAGUAGAAGGUGUUCACACCUUUUUACUUCUUAGAGGGACAAUGUGUGCAAGCGCACGGAAGUUGGAGGCAAUAACA
RNAcentral lists this ribosomal RNA (135 nucleotides) under uncultured eukaryote. RNAcentral describes it as "partial 18S ribosomal RNA". It matches the Rfam family "Eukaryotic small subunit ribosomal RNA", at positions 1299 to 1458 of the family's 1831-position model. The record is from RNAcentral.